RNAcentral lists this long non-coding RNA (886 nucleotides) under Gallus gallus (chicken). The record is from RNAcentral. Lineage: Eukaryota; Metazoa; Chordata; Aves; Galliformes; Phasianidae.
GUCGAUGUUGAGCGUGGUGAUGCUCCUGUUCUCACGCAGCAUGUUGGCCAGUGCAAACGCAACAUUGUCAUCAGCUCCCACGUUGGCCAAGCUGAAAGUUUUUAUGUUCUUAUUCUUCUUCAUCGCAUUGACAAAGUCUAUCAGCAUUUCUUUGGGGAUGUUCUCUAUGUUGUUCAGGUUGAGCUCCUUCAUAUCUGGAUUGUUUUUUCGGACUUUCUCCAGGCUCUCUUCUAAGUUGGUUUGAUUUCCUGAUGGCCUGGCGCUGAGUUUCAUGAAGCUGGUAUCCAAUGCUAACUUUUUGGGGAUGUUCAAUUUUGAGAUUUUCUUUUCAUUUUCUUCUGGCUUUUCUGUGGUUUCCCCUGAUUCCAUACCUGAUUGCUUGCUUGUUUGAUCACUGUGAUGGUUUUCAUUAACACAAGUUUCCUUUGUUUCUGACUCACUCUCAUCUUCCUCCUCUUCACCUUCCUCUUCUUCCUCCUCCUCGUCCUCUCCCUCCUCGUUGCUUCCAUCUCUGUUCAUCUCCCCAGGCUGUGUUACUGCAUGAGACACGCUCUCAUUUUUGUAGUGCCGCUCCUUCCCAUCAGCGUCUGGCCCCCUCCUGCCGCCUGCAUCUCCAGGACCACCACCAUCUCCCAUCUCCUCUGCAGUCAUUCUCUCAGAGGGCAGGAGGGUGACAGGAACUCUCUCAUCCUCAAGCAUGCGUCGGGACGCCUUUUGCCAGUACAGGUAGUCCACCAGGGAGCGGUGGUCAAAGCUGCCUGUUGGGGGCUUCUCUGUCUGAUCCCUCUGUAUCAUCCCUGUGGGGAGCUCGGGGUCAGGGGCCAUCACCUCCAUCUCGCUCUGCAGCUCCUUCAGCUCCUCAGGGGAGAGAUUGGCCAGAAUUUCA